UGGGGAAUUUUGGACAAUGGGGGAAACCCUGAUCCAGCCAUGCCGCGUGCGGGAAGAAGGCCUUCGGGUUGUAAACCGCUUUUGGCAGGAACGAAACGGCGUGCGCCAAUACCGCGCGCUAAUGACGGUACCUGCAGAAUAAGCACCGGCUAACUACGUGCCAGCAGCCGCGGUAAAACGUAGGUGGCGAGCGUUAUCCGGAUUCGCUGGGCGUAAAGCGCGUGCAGGUGGUUCGGUAAGUUGGACGUGAAAUCUCCUGGCUUAACUAGGAGAGGUCGUUCAAUACUACCGGACUUGAGAGUGGUAGAGGAAGAUGGAAUUCCCGGUGUAGUGGUGAAAUGCGUAGAUAUCGGGAGGAACACCAGUGGCGAAAGCGAUCUUCUGGACCAUUUCUGACACUCAGACGCGAAAGCUAGGGUAGUAAACGGGAUUAGAGACCCCGGUAAUCCUAGCUGUAAACGAUGUAAACUUGGCGUCGGUGGCUUAAACUCCAUCGGUGCCGCAGCUAACGCGAUAAGUUUACCGCCUGGGGACUACGAUCGCAAGAUUA
RNAcentral lists this ribosomal RNA (550 nucleotides) under uncultured bacterium. RNAcentral's name for it is "bacterial SSU rRNA". It matches the Rfam family "Bacterial small subunit ribosomal RNA", at positions 355 to 896 of the family's 1533-position model. The record is from RNAcentral.